Molecule: ribosomal RNA, 513 nt
Filed under: uncultured bacterium
Lineage: Bacteria
Description: bacterial SSU rRNA
Rfam family: Bacterial small subunit ribosomal RNA
Source: RNAcentral
GAUCCUGGCUUAGGAUGAACGCUAGCGACAGGCUUAACACAUGCAAGUCGAGGGGCAGCACGGGAGUAGCAAUACAACUGGUGGCGACCGGCGCACGGGUGAGUAACGCGUAUGCAACCUACCUAUCAGAGGGGAAUAACCCGGCGAAAGUCGGACUAAUACCGCAUAAAACAGGGGCACCGCAUGGUGAUAUUUGUUAAAGAAGUUCGCUGAUAGAUGGGCAUGCGUUCCAUUAGGUAGUUGGUGAGGUAACGGCUCACCAAGCCGACGAUGGAUAGGGGAACUGAGAGGUUGGUCCCCCACACUGGUACUGAGACACGGACCAGACUCCUACGGGAGGCAGCAGUGAGGAAUAUUGGUCAAUGGGCGGGAGCCUGAACCAGCCAAGUCCGCGUGAAGGAAGAAGGAUCUAUGGUUCGUAAACUUCUUUUGCAGGGGAAUAAAGUGCGGGACGUGUCCUGUUUUGUAUGUACCCUGAGAAUAAGGAUCGGCUAACUCCGUGCCAGCAGCGGC